RNAcentral lists this long non-coding RNA (1737 nucleotides) under Homo sapiens (human). RNAcentral's name for it is "non-protein coding lnc-HYAL4-1:1". Lineage: Eukaryota; Metazoa; Chordata; Mammalia; Primates; Hominidae. The record is from RNAcentral.
ACAGUGCUAGUCUAGAACCUGGGUUACUUCAUAAAUGGUAAUUCCUUUAUGAAGCUUUUUCUUCGAGGUAGGGUUUCACUUUAUAUCCCAGGCAUACAAAAGAAAAAAGAGGUUGUUGACAUAUAUGAUCCUAGUAUUUUUGGUGGGGUAGACUCUAGGCAGGAAGCCAGCAUUCUUCAAUCAUCUUCCUAACUGCUAAGUGAGAAAUUCCAUUGUGUAUUAUUCUUCCCCAACCAUACAACCUUAUCACUCAAAUUAUAGUUUCAGGACAUAAGUGCUCAAAAAGUAGUUUGGGGUGAAAGAGGUGUCAAAUCACUUGGUUGCCAAUGAUGCUGAGGUUUGCUUGCACUCACUAUGAUUUUUCUACAUAUUUCCACCUCCACACAUACUAUCCUUUUUAGUAGAGACGGGGUUUCACCGUGUUAGCCAGGAUGGUCUCGAUCUCCUGACUUCGUGAUCCGCCCACCUCGGCCUCCCAAAAUGCUGGGAUUACAAAUUGCAUGUAAAGUAUUACUUACUGUUAGUACAGUUAGUUAUUUCUUUUUGUUCUAUUUAAUAUUAGUUAAAAUCCCAAUAUUUGUUAAUUUUCAAGUGGGCAUGUUCUUGGAGUCACUUUGUAAGUAAUCAAUAAGGAGAUAUGACAAUCCAUUCAGACUUCUUUUCUAGUUCCUCUUAGAGCCAGUGAAGGCUUGUCAGUACAAGAAGGUUUGGGUUAGCGUAUUCAGAAUCAUAGGAAAUUAAAACCAGAAUGGCUAGCAGCUAGAGUUUGCAUAGCUGACAAAUGUGUGAAACUUUUUAUAGUUUUUAUUGAGUAUAUAUUUUUUUCACAUUUCACUAUAAAUUGGCAUAGAUAUUAAUAAGCCUCAAAGAUAUUUUAAAAUAUUUGGUCUAUUCAUUGUAUACCACAAAACUUAAGAGACAUUUGACUCCAUUAUGUAUGAUAUUUUGCUUAUUAUUUUCAAGGAGACUGCUGUAAUGCUGAAAACCUCAAGCCAUGUGUAACCCAUGGGUGGCGUGGUUAGGAGUGCUACCACUCUUUAUCCUAUUAACUCAGGCAGCCCUCAAACCAGCAAUGCCUCCGGUGAUCAAGAGCCAGCCUUUCAACAUUUUCUGGGCAGCCCCAACAAUGUAUUGUAUGCCUUCCUUCAACGUGGAUAUAAAUCUUCAAGUAUUUAACAUUAUAUCAAAUCCUUUAGAGACUCAGAGUGGGUCAAAAAUUGCCAUAUUUUAUCCAAAUGAAUUAGGGUAUUACCCUUACUUAUCUCAAGAUGGAAAAUCCUUUAAUGGAGGAAUACCGCAGAAUGUGAGCCUUUCUGAACACCUUAGGAAAACUGCUGAUGACAUUGGAGAAGGUGUCCCUUGGUGGAGAUCAGAAGAACUUGUUGUUAUUGACUGGGAAAGUUGGAAACCCCAAUGGGAUAGAAAUCAGGGCAGCAGAAUAAUAUAUAAAAACCACUCUUUAGCCUUCACUAGAAACCAUCAUCCUUAUUGGUCAGAAAUGAAAGUGGAAACAGUUGCCCGAGAGGAAUUUGAAAAUGCUGGAAAAAAUUUCAUGAACAUUACUCUCACAUUGGCUUUAGAAAUGAGACCAAAAUGUUUAUGGGGCUUUUAUCUCUAUCCAGACUGCUACAAUUAUGAUUACAGAAUAAAUCCAGAGACGUACACAGGUAAUUGUCCAAAUUGUGGCUGUGGGAAAAAAGCGCAGCACUUUAUCCUUCAAUACAUUUGGAUAAAAUA